UGAGGUCUAGCUCAGUAGUAGAGCACUUGUCUAGUAUGCAUGAGGCCCUGGGUUCAAUCCCAGCACCACAU
Molecule: transfer RNA, 71 nt
Filed under: Ictidomys tridecemlineatus (thirteen-lined ground squirrel)
Lineage: Eukaryota; Metazoa; Chordata; Mammalia; Rodentia; Sciuridae
Description: Spermophilus tridecemlineatus (thirteen-lined ground squirrel) tRNA
Rfam family: tRNA
About the family: Transfer RNA (tRNA) molecules are approximately 80 nucleotides in length. Their secondary structure includes four short double-helical elements and three loops (D, anti-codon, and T loops).
Source: Rfam by way of RNAcentral